CAAGGGCUGUACAGUUCCUGGAGCUGGGCAGUCUUCUCAGAGUGGAGCCUGGUAACCGCGACCUCCCCGCCAGUUCCUGUGUGUUGCUGGCUGGAAAGGGGUAGUUGACAAACUCCCACCCAGCACAGUAUUUAUGUCGGUCAAAAAUGGAAAACUAUGUGUCCGGGCACGGCCCAGGAAGGAGGAUUCCUUCAGGCCAAGAGCAGCCUAGCAAUAUGGCGCAACCCCACCUCUGUAGUCCAACCUCAGCCUCCCAGCUACUUGAACCCCAAGAUUCAAGGCUCCAAUGAGCUGUGAUCUCACCACAGCACUCCUGCCUGCGAGACUGAGAGACCAAAGACCAACAAACUACCACAGCCACCAGUUCCGGAACCUGCCAAUGAUGGGCAACGGAAAGUGAGGGAGUUCAACUCUGUAAAGGAAGAAUGGUAUGCCAGAAUCACUAAAUGAAGAAAGAUGGUGGAUCAGCUUUUCUGCAAAAAAAUUUGGUUCCUGAAAGGGAGAGAGGAAAUCUUAGAUUUGUCAUUGCUGGGAACCACUGCAAGUAUUCAAGAAAUAUUCACUACUUCCAACCUCAUAAUCCUGCAGUCAUUUGUUACCUGUGAGUCAGGUGCGGGGGGAGCUGGGCAGUGCAGAAGACAGUGCCCUGCCCCGUGCAUUCUGGAGCAUUCAAUCUGCUGGGGAAACGUAUACUGAAGCCUUGGGGAGCACUGAAGCCAAGGUUCUACUGUACCAAAAAUUUGAAGGCCAUGCGAAUGAUCUGUAUGCGGAAGGACUACCAGAAAACAUUCCUUUCAGAAGUCCCUCGUGGUAUGGAAUCCCAAGGCUGGAAAACAUCAUUCAAGUGGGCAAUCGAAUUAAAUUUCUUAUUAAAAGUAACUCCAGUCAGACUCCAUUGUCUCCAGGUCGACUUUCGUCAUCAUCCACAACUCCUCCACACAAGCCCUGAACACGUGUCCAUCUCAAGCUCUUGGACUCACUGAGGCAGUAAAAGUACCAUAUUCUGUGUUUGAAUCAAACCCCGAGUUCCUGUAUGUAGAAGGCUUGCCAGACAGAAUUUCCUUUCCAAGCCCUACCUGGUUUGGAAUUCCAUGACUUGAAAGGAUCGUCUGUGGAGUAAUAAAACCAAGUUUGUUGUUAAAAAGUAAGUUCCAGGCCAGGUAUGGUGGCUCACGCCUGUAAUCCCAGCACUUUGGGAGGCCAAGGCAGGUGAAUCACCUGAGGUCAGGAGUUCAAGACCAGCCUGACCAACAUAUCUACUAAAAAUGUUAAAAAUUAGCCAGGCAUGUUGGCUGGUGCCUGUAAUCCCAGCUACUUGGGAGCCUGAAGCAGGAGAAUCGCUUGAAUCUGGGAGGCAGAGGCUGCAGUGAGCCCAGAUCACAGCACUGUACUCUAGCCUGGGCGACAGAGUGAGACUCUGCCUCGACAACAACAACAACAAUAUUAAAAAAGUAAGUUAUAUUUGCCACUGUAGUCAUUUCUGGAAUUAAAACAAUAAAAUGAUAUUUCUACUAAAAUGUUUUUCUAGCUAGAGGUGACAGGCGUGGCUGUAAGUCCUUGAUGGAAAAGCCUGGCUCUGAGCUGCAGUCCUGGCACUCUCCAUUGCCCCUGCAGUCCCCCAUCCUGUACUCAGCUGUCUUUGUCAGUGCAAGAAUAGUGACCACUGCCUCCAUGGUGUUGAGAGGCACCAUGGUGGCUCACAGUACACCUAAGUACUUGAAUGAAGUCUAAUUUGCUGGGUUUUA
Molecule: long non-coding RNA, 1745 nt
Filed under: Homo sapiens (human)
Lineage: Eukaryota; Metazoa; Chordata; Mammalia; Primates; Hominidae
Description: non-protein coding lnc-VKORC1L1-5:3
Source: RNAcentral